CCUUGGAAGGGACCCCUUCAGGUCAGAACAACCCUGAUGUCACUCCUGGGUUUCUGACUGCUGCAUGUGCCAUCCACCCGCGGACCCUCCAUGAGCGUCCAGUGUCCCUCCCCCCCAGAGCUCCUGGUGUCACAGGCAGAAGUGACUGCACACAGUCUCCGGCUCCAGUGGGUCCCGGGCAGCGACGGGGCCCCCCAUCCACUACUUCACUGUGCAGGUGCGAGAGCUGCCCCGGGGAGAGCAGCAGACCUACUCCUCAUC
Ailuropoda melanoleuca (giant panda) is the source of this 261-nucleotide long non-coding RNA. RefSeq lists it as uncharacterized. The transcript is spliced from 3 exons. Lineage: Eukaryota; Metazoa; Chordata; Mammalia; Carnivora; Ursidae. The record is from RefSeq and is a predicted model, not a curated record.